GACAGAGGUGCCAAGCGUUAGGCGGAAUCACUGGGCUUAAAGCGUGUGUAGGCGGACUUGUAAGUACCUUGUGAAAUCCCACGGCUCAACCGUGGAACUGCUCGGUAUACUGCUUGUCUUGAGCCACUUAGGGGCUGUCGGAACAAACGGUGGAGCGGUGAAAUGCGUAGAUAUCAGGAGGAUCACCGAUGGCGAAGGCAGGUCUCUGGGCAUUAACUGACGCUGAGGAGCGAAAGCAUGGGGAGCGAACAGG
RNAcentral lists this ribosomal RNA (253 nucleotides) under uncultured bacterium. RNAcentral describes it as "partial 16S ribosomal RNA". It matches the Rfam family "Bacterial small subunit ribosomal RNA", at positions 524 to 776 of the family's 1533-position model. The record is from RNAcentral.